This 2054-nucleotide long non-coding RNA is filed under the name Apis mellifera (honey bee). RNAcentral's name for it is "uncharacterized LOC102654107". The record is from RNAcentral. Lineage: Eukaryota; Metazoa; Arthropoda; Insecta; Hymenoptera; Apidae.
ACAGACAGACAGACAGACAGAGAGAGAGAGAGGGAAAGAGAGAGAGAGAGAGAGAUCUAGAAAGCAUUCAAGUUUGACAAAUGGCGAUCGACACCUCGCGAGAAGAGUACACAGUUAUUAUAUUUGAAUCGUGCAUGCAGCGGAUAUCACGACGAGGAUAUCACGACGACCUCAUUUCCGUCCACUUGGAAUCGUAACGUCGCAAUAUAUUGUAUCGAGAACGAUACAGGAAAGGGUUAUUUUUCGUUCUAUUCGUAAUUAAAACCUUUCUUCAUCGUCCAUUUCGAUUCGAGGAACACGUUGACGUUGAUAGCUUUUUGAAAUCGAGAUUUUUUUUUGAGAGAGAGAUAAUGUAUCUUGCGAAUUCUUCUUUGCUCGUCGCAACAUUUUAACAGAUUUUUCUGACGCGUGUAUAAAGAAGGUUUUGAUUACGUUAUCAUUCGAAGAAUUAUACUUAUUAUCUUUGUACGAUAACAACAGAUAACAGUAUAUCUGAGAAUAUACGGUGAAUCACGGUGAAAUUUUUCUUCGAUUCUUUAUAAUUUUUGUUAAAUGUGGGAUUAUUAUUCUUAAUAAUUAGGGAGUGGUUCUCUCUCUCUCUUUUUUUUUUUUUAGGUUCAAAGGAAUGCGUGUAAGAAACGGGGAAAGUUAUUGCGAAGAGAAAAGUUAGUCGACUGACUUCUCAGGCAGGAACAUCAAUCUGGAUUUAUACUUAUGGUAGACACUGCUAGAAACCAUCCAACCUGCCCAAUUCUUCGGGACACACACACAUCUCAUCGUUUAUACUUGCUUGUGCAACGAGAUCGCGACGCGUAAACCCUUCAUACCGAUCCAGAGCCCGCUAACACAACGAUAACCUCGGCCGAGGAUUAGCCAAGUGUCCCCUCAAUUAUGGAAAUUGUUUUUACUCGAGCGGAAAACGCUUGCGGUUACGAGCGGCCGUUAGACGAACGGCUCCAUACAGUUGAACACCGAGGAGGGGAGAAAAAGAAGGAGAAAGAGGGGGAGAGAAAAAGGGAAAGUGCGUGUGUUACAUUUCCUCUCUAAUGGAAAUUGUCCGAUUUGCAAAUCGUCGGUCUGGCUAACUGGUUGGUAGAGCAGGUGAUCGUGAAAAACGCACCUUCGAGUCGUUUUAUCGUGGGAGGAGGGAGGGGGAUAUUAAAGAAAAAUAUUUGCGAAUAACCAACGACGAUCCUUUCAUCGAUGGAUCUCUGACUGAUGGUUCUUUUGUGGCCGGGGUUACGAGGACUUUGAUGACGAUCUUUUGGAAGGGAUUUUUUUUUUGAAAUUAUUCGUCGAGUAAUAGAGCGAGGAAAGAGUAUCAUUGAAUGUAUACCGAGAUAUAAUGGAAAAGAAAUAGAGUGGAAGAUGAAUUUUAUUGGAAUGAGAAAUUUUAUAUUGGAUGGAGGUGAAAAUCUUUGGGAGAUUGGAAAGUCACUUUUUUCACGAGCUCUGCACUUAUCACGUGUUCCGUUUUAUUUGCGAACAUUAAUAGUAAAAUAUUGAGAAAACAAUUUUAUGUGGAUAAGAACGUGGGUAUAUAUUUGAAAAAAGGAACGAAUGAAUUUGUACAAAUAAUUAUAUAAUAGCAUCGAUAACGACGUGAAAUCUUGACAGCACGCAUGGUACAAAUUCUAACAAUCUUGCUGCAAACUCAACUCUUUUCGAAAGAUAGAUUGGAACGGAGCCACAUAAAAUGUUCGUGUCAAAGUCCCGGAAUAAGAUAUCCUCCGCAGCGUUGCACGAUGAUGAGAGAAUUAGGCGGAGCGAGCAAAGUAUCCCUCUUGUCCCCAACGCCUGUCCCAAAGGAGACCUCGGUAACGCAUAGUACAUGGUGGAACAGAACAGGUAGUUAGUCCGACCUCGUGUUUAAUACCGUGUUCACACAUUGGCCACAGCUAUAUACCGCUAAACAAAGCAAUAUGUAUCCACCUGAAUUGGCGAGAAUGGCUGAUGAACAAUUGAGACGUAACUAGAGGAGAGGCGAAUAUAUGAAAAUAAUGGCAAGCGAAACUUUUAAUUCGAUCAAAAGAAUCUUUUUGAUGGAAAGAUAU